RNAcentral lists this ribosomal RNA (1343 nucleotides) under uncultured bacterium. RNAcentral describes it as "16S ribosomal RNA". It matches the Rfam family "Bacterial small subunit ribosomal RNA", at positions 28 to 1378 of the family's 1533-position model. The record is from RNAcentral.
GACGAACGCUGGCGGCGUGCUUAACACAUGCAAGUCGAACGGAAAGGCCCUGCUUUUGUGGGGUGCUCGAGUGGCGAACGGGUGAGUAACACGUGAGUAACCUGCCCUUGACUUUGGGAUAACUUCAGGAAACUGGGGCUAAUACCGGAUAGGAGCUCCUGCUGCAUGGUGGGGGUUGGAAAGUUUCGGCGGUUGGGGAUGGACUCGCGGCUUAUCAGCUUGUUGGUGGGGUAGUGGCUUACCAAGGCUUUGACGGGUAGCCGGCCUGAGAGGGUGACCGGCCACAUUGGGACUGAGAUACGGCCCAGACUCCUACGGGAGGCAGCAGUGGGGAAUAUUGCACAAUGGGCGGAAGCCUGAUGCAGCAACGCCGCGUGCGGGAUGACGGCCUUCGGGUUGUAAACCGCUUUCGCCUGUGACGAAGCGUGAGUGACGGUAAUGGGUAAAGAAGCACCGGCUAACUACGUGCCAGCAGCCGCGGUGAUACGUAGGGUGCGAGCGUUGUCCGGAUUUAUUGGGCGUAAAGGGCUCGUAGGUGGUUGAUCGCGUCGGAAGUGUAAUCUUGGGGCUUAACCCUGAGCGUGCUUUCGAUACGGGUUGACUUGAGGAAGGUAGGGGAGAUUGGAAUUCCUGGUGGAGCGGUGGAAUGCGCAGAUAUCAGGAGGAACACCAGUGGCGAAGGCGGUUCUCUGGGCCUUUCCUGACGCUGAGGAGCGAAAGCGUGGGGAGCGAACAGGCUUAGAUACCCUGGUAGUCCACGCUGUAAACGGUGGGUACUAGGUGUGGGGUCCAUUCCACGGGUUCCGUGCCGUAGCUAACGCUUUAAGUACCCCGCCUGGGGAGUACGGCCGCAAGGCUAAAACUCAAAGGAAUUGACGGGGCCCCGCACAAGCGGCGGAGCAUGCGGAUUAAUUCGAUGCAACGCGUAGAACCUUACCUGGGUUUGACAUGGAUCGGGAGUGCUCAGAGAUGGGUGUGCCUCUUUUGGGGUCGGUUCACAGGUGGUGCAUGGCUGUCGUCAGCUCGUGUCGUGAGAUGUUGGGUUAAGUCCCGCAACGAGCGCAACCCUUGUUCACUGUUGCCAGCACGUUAUGGUGGGGACUCAGUGGAGACCGCCGGGGUCAACUCGGAGGAAGGUGGGGAUGACGUCAAGUCAUCAUGCCCCUUAUGUCCAGGGCUUCACGCAUGCUACAAUGGCUGGUACAGAGAGUGGCGAGCCUGUGAGGGUGAGCGAAUCUCGGAAAGCCGGUCUCAGUUCGGAUUGGGGUCUGCAACUCGACCUCAUGAAGUCGGAGUCGCUAGUAAUCGCAGAUCAGCAACGCUGCGGUGAAUACGUUCCCGGG